RNAcentral lists this ribosomal RNA (231 nucleotides) under uncultured bacterium. RNAcentral describes it as "partial 16S ribosomal RNA". It matches the Rfam family "Bacterial small subunit ribosomal RNA", at positions 92 to 339 of the family's 1533-position model. The record is from RNAcentral.
CUAGUGGCGGACGGGUGAGUAACGCGUGGGAAUCUGCCUUUAGAUGGGGGAUAACGGGCCGAAAGGUCCGCUAAUACCGCAUAUGCCGCAAGGUGAAAGGAGUAAUCCGUCUAAAGAUGAGCCCGCGUCCGAUUAGCUAGUUGGUAGAGUAAGAGCCUACCAAGGCGACGAUCGGUAGCUGGUCUGAGAGGAUGAUCAGCCACAAUGGGACUGAGACACGGCCCAUACUCC